AGGUAGCGCCUCGUGAAUUCAUCUUCGGGGGUAGAGCACUGUUUCGGCUAGGGGGCCAUCCCGGCUUACCAACCCGAUGCAAACUACGAAUACCGAAGAGUGAUACUCAGGAGACACACGGCGGGUGCUAACGUCCGUCGUGGAGAGGGAAACAACCCAGACCGCCAGCUAAGGUCCCAAAGUCUAUAUUAAGUGGGAAACGAAGUGGGAAGGCUUAGACAGCUAGGAUGUUGGCUUAGAAGCAGCCAUCAUUUAAAGAAAGCGUAAUAGCUCACUAGUCGAGUCGGCCUGCGCGGAAGAUGUAACGGGGCUCAAAUAUAGCACCGAAGCUGCGGCAUCAGUAGCAAUACUGUUGGGUAGGGGAGCGUUCUGUAAGCGGAUGAAGGUGGCUCGAGAGGGCUGCUGGACGUAUCAGAAGUGCGAAUGCUGACAUAAGUAACGAUAAAACGGGUGAAAAACCCGUUCGCCGGAAGACCAAGGGUUCCUGUCCAACGUUAAUCGGGGCAGGGUGAGUCGGCCCCUAAGGCGAGGCUGAAAAGCGUAGUCGAUGGGAAACGGGUUAAUAUUCCCGUACUUGGAUAAACUGCGAUGUGGGGACGGAGCAGGUUAGGUUAUCGCACUGUUGGAUAUGUGCGUUUAAGUUUGUAGGUGAGAAGUUUAGGCAAAUCCGGACUUCUUUAACACUGAGAGAUGAUGACGAGGCUCUACGGAGCUGAAGUAACCGAUACCACACUUCCAGGAAAAGCCACUAAGCUUCAGGUUUAUCUAAACCGUACUGAAAACCGACACAGGUGGUCAGGUAGAGAAUACUCAGGCGCUUGAGAGAACUCGGGUGAAGGAACUAGGCAAAAUAGCACCGUAACUUCGGGAGAAGGUGCGCCGGCGUAGAUUGUAGUCCCUUGCGGGCGAAGGUUGAACCGGUCGAAGAUACCAGCUGGCUGCAACUGUUUAUUAAAAACACAGCACUCUGCAAACACGAAAGUGGACGUAUAGGGUGUGAUGCCUGCCCGGUGCUGGAAGGUUAAUUGAUGGUGUAAUCGAAAGAGAAGCUCCUGAUCGAAGCCCCAGUAAACGGCGGCCGUAACUAUAACGGUCCUAAGGUAGCGAAAUUCCUUGUCGGGUAAGUUCCGACCUGCACGAAUGGCAUAAUGAUGGCCAGGCUGUCUCCACCCGAGACUCAGUGAAAUUGAAAUCGCCGUGAAGAUGCGGUGUACCCGCGGCUAGACGGAAAGACCCCGUGAACCUUUACUAUAGCUUGACACUGAACAUUGAAUUUUGAUGUGUAGGAUAGGUGGGAGACUUUGAAGUAGUCACGCCAGUGAUUAUGGAGUCGUCCUUGAAAUACCACCCUUUAACGUUUGAUGUUCUAACGAAGAUUACGAAACGUGGUCUCGGACAGUGUCUGGUGGGUAGUUUGACUGGGGCGGUCUCCUCCCAAAGAGUAACGGAGGAGCACGAAGGUUAGCUAAUCCUGGUCGGACAUCAGGAGGU
This 1491-nucleotide ribosomal RNA is filed under the name metagenome. RNAcentral's name for it is "bacterial LSU rRNA". It matches the Rfam family "Bacterial large subunit ribosomal RNA", at positions 872 to 2346 of the family's 2925-position model. The record is from RNAcentral.